This is a long non-coding RNA of Leopardus geoffroyi (Geoffroy's cat), 569 nucleotides long. RefSeq lists it as uncharacterized. The record is from RefSeq and is a predicted model, not a curated record. Lineage: Eukaryota; Metazoa; Chordata; Mammalia; Carnivora; Felidae. The transcript has 2 exons.
AAGGCAGUUCAUUAGGAAACCUCGUGUUUACUCAAGUAUGCGCGAAGUCCACUUGGCCAGCAGGCUACAUGCGAUUCCUUGAAAUUCUGUUCCAUGGACUCCAGGGAGCUAAAUGUAACAUUUAGUCAUCAAUAGGAUAAUUUAGGCUCAUUCUUUCUACUUGCCUUCUUAAGAAGGGAUUGGAGUUCAUGCCGGUAUUCUCUAGAAAAUGGAAGUGCCUUCCCGCCCUGUAAAGAUGGCUUUCCAUACACCGCGGACUCUCACACAAGCCUCUUUAUCGUCACACACAUGAAAGCAACAUGAAAAUGCUGAGGUUGGGACCCACGGCGGGAAGCCUUACAAUCAAGAAUGAGAGAAAACUACACACUUAACCACCAAUGAAACGCCAAGCAGAAACGAAGAUGUCCUCACCAGACGAUGGUCUUCGAGACCAGAAGCUCAGCUCCACAGCCCAGAACUUACACACAACUCCUAAGGAAAUUAGGAAAACCUCAAAUUAACUAGAAUUCCUAUUCUGCUGUGCCAGUAGCAUGGAAACUCAAGAAAGAAAUUAAAUUUAAAAAAUCACA